GCUGGCGGCAGGCUUAACACAUGCAAGUCGAGCGGGGAAAGGUAGCUUGCUACUAGACCUAGCGGCGGACGGGUGAGUAAUACUUAGGAAUCUGCCUAUUAGUGGGGGACAACAUUCCGAAAGGGAUGCUAAUACCGCAUACGUCCUACGGGAGAAAGCAGGGGAUCACUUGUGACCUUGCGCUAAUAGAUGAGCCUAAGUCAGAUUAGCUAGUUGGUGGGGUAAAGGCCUACCAAGGCGACGAUCUGUAGCGGGUCUGAGAGGAUGAUCCGCCACACUGGGACUGAGACACGGCCCAGACUCCUACGGGAGGCAGCAGUGGGGAAUAUUGGACAAUGGGGGGAACCCUGAUCCAGCCAUGCCGCGUGUGUGAAGAAGGCCUUUUGGUUGUAAAGCACUUUAAGCGAGGAGGAGGGUACCUUGGUUAAUACCCAAGAGUACUGGACGUUACUCGCAGAAUAAGCACCGGCUAACUCUGUGCCAGCAGCCGCGGUAAUACAGAGGGUGCGAGCGUUAAUCGGAUUUACUGGGCGUAAAGCGUGCGUAGGCGGCUUUUUAAGUCGGAUGUGAAAUCCCCGAGCUUAACUUGGGAAUUGCAUUCGAUACUGGGAAGCUAGAGUAUGGGAGAGGAUGGUAGAAUUCCAGGUGUAGCGGUGAAAUGCGUAGAGAUCUGGAGGAAUACCGAUGGCGAAGGCAGCCAUCUGGCCUAAUACUGACGCUGAGGUACGAAAGCAUGGGGAGCAAACAGGAUUAGAUACCCUGGUAGUCCAUGCCGUAAACGAUGUCUACU
This 790-nucleotide ribosomal RNA is filed under the name uncultured bacterium. RNAcentral describes it as "bacterial SSU rRNA". It matches the Rfam family "Bacterial small subunit ribosomal RNA", at positions 35 to 817 of the family's 1533-position model. The record is from RNAcentral.